Molecule: ribosomal RNA, 544 nt
Filed under: uncultured bacterium
Lineage: Bacteria
Description: bacterial SSU rRNA
Rfam family: Bacterial small subunit ribosomal RNA
Source: RNAcentral
AAUAGAUACCCCGGUAGUCCACCCCGUAAACGUUGGGAACUAGUUGUGGGGUCCUUUCCACGGAUUCCGUGACGCAGCUAACGCAUUAAGUUCCCCGCCUGGGGAGUACGGCCGCAAGGCUAAAACUCAAAGGAAUUGAUGGGGACCCGCACAAGCGGCGGAGCAUGCGGAUUAAUUCGAUGCAACGCGAAGAACCUUACCAAGGCUUGACAUACACCAGAACACCCUAGAAAUAGGGGACUCUUUGGACACUGGUGAACAGGUGGUGCAUGGUUGUCGUCAGCUCGUGUCGUGAGAUGUUGGGUUAAGUCCCGCAACGAGCGCAACCCUCGUUCUAUGUUGCCAGCACGUAAUGGUGGGAACUCAUGGGAUACUGCCGGGGUCAACUCGGAGGAAGGUGGGGAUGACGUCAAAUCAUCAUGCCCCUUAUGUCUUGGGCUUCACGCAUGCUACAAUGGCCGGUACAAAGGGCUGCAAUACCGUGAGGUGGAGCGAAUCCCAAAAAGCCGGUCCCAGUUCGGAUUGAGGUCUGCAACUCGACCUC